ACCAUGGGCGGUGCUCACGCUUGCAGUCGAACGAUGAAGCCCAGCUUGCUGGGUGGAUUAGUGGCGAACGGGUGAGUAACACGUGAGUAACCUGGCCUUGACUCUGGGAUAAGCCUGGUAAACUGGGGGUAAUACUGGAUAUGACUUCUCACCGCAUGGUGGGGGGUGGAAAGAUUUAUUGGUCUUGGAUGGACUCGCGGCCUAUCAGCUUGUUGGUGAGGUAAUGGCUCACCAAGGCGACGACGGGUAGCCGGCCUGAGAGGGUGACCGGCCACACUGGGACUGAGACACGGCCCAGACUCCUACGGGAGGCAGCAGUGGGGAAUAUUGCACAAUGGGCGCAAGCCUGAUGCAGCGACGCCGCGUGAGGGAUGACGGCCUUCGGGUUGUAAACCUCUUUCAGUAGGGAAGAAGCGAAAGUGACGGUACCUGCAGAAGAAGCGCCGGCUAACUACGUGCCAGCAGCCGCGGUAAUACGUAGGGCGCGAGCGUUAUCCGGAAUUAUUGGGCGUAAAGAGCUCGUAGGCGGUUUGUCGCGUCUGCCGUGAAAGUCCGGGGCUUAACCCCGGAUCUGCGGUGGGUACGGGCAGACUAGAGUGCAGUAGGGGAGACUGGAAUUCCUGGUGUAGCGGUGAAAUGCGCAGAUAUCAGGAGGAACACCGAUGGCGAAGGCAGGUCUCUGGGCUGUAACUGACGCUGAGGAGCGAAAGCAUGGGGAGCGAACAGGAUUAGAUACCCUGGUAGUCCAUGCCGUAAACGUUGGGCACUAGGUGUGGGGGACAUUCCACGUUUUCCGCGCCGUAGCUAACGCAUUAAGUGCCCCGCCUGGGGAGUACGGCCGCAAGGCUAAAACUCAAAGGAAUUGACGGGGGCCCGCACAAGCGGCGGAGCAUGCGGAUUAAUUCGAUGCAACGCGAAGAACCUUACCAAGGCUUGACAUGUUCCUGACCGCCGUAGAGAUACGGGUUUCCCCUUUGGGGCAGGUUCACAGGUGGUGCAUGGUGUCGUCAGCUCGUGUCGUGAGAUGUUGGGUUAAGUCCCGCAACGGAGCGCAACCCUCGUUUCAUGUUGCCAGCCACC
RNAcentral lists this ribosomal RNA (1080 nucleotides) under Acinetobacter sp. NII-46. Its description in RNAcentral is "bacterial SSU rRNA". It matches the Rfam family "Bacterial small subunit ribosomal RNA", at positions 32 to 1126 of the family's 1533-position model. The record is from RNAcentral. Lineage: Bacteria; Pseudomonadati; Pseudomonadota; Gammaproteobacteria; Moraxellales; Moraxellaceae.